This 510-nucleotide ribosomal RNA is filed under the name uncultured bacterium. RNAcentral's name for it is "bacterial SSU rRNA". It matches the Rfam family "Bacterial small subunit ribosomal RNA", at positions 9 to 513 of the family's 1533-position model. The record is from RNAcentral.
GAGUUUGAUCUUGGCUCAGAUUGAACGCUGGCGGCAGGCCUAACACAUGCAAGUCGAGCGGUAGAGAGAAGCUUGCUUCUCUUGAGAGCGGCGGACGGGUGAGUAAUGCCUAGGAAUCUGCCUGGUAGUGGGGGAUAACGCUCGGAAACGGACGCUAAUACCGCAUACGUCCUACGGGAGAAAGCAGGGGACCUUCGGGCCUUGCGCUAUCAGAUGAGCCUAGGUCGGAUUAGCUAGUUGGUGAGGUAAUGGCUCACCAAGGCGACGAUCCGUAACUGGUCUGAGAGGAUGAUCAGUCACACUGGAACUGAGACACGGUCCAGACUCCUACGGGAGGCAGCAGUGGGGAAUAUUGGACAAUGGGCGAAAGCCUGAUCCAGCCAUGCCGCGUGUGUGAAGAAGGUCUUCGGAUUGUAAAGCACUUUAAGUUGGGAGGAAGGGCAGUAAAUUAAGUACUUUGCUGUUUUGACGUUACCGACAGAAUAAGCACCGGCUAACUCUGUGCCAGCA